CCACGACUUAGAAGCAGAAAUUGAUCCAGAACGGCCAACACAACCAACCGUCCGUUCAUAUAGUCCAGGUCUUUCCCAGGAUGGCAUAACUUCAGAGAUUUUUCAGUGAAAAUAGUGUGUACACAAUCAUACUAGGAAGGCCGGAGCUGGACUGGGAUGGGCUGGGCUGGACUGGUUGAUGCAUCGCACGCUGUCACUCUUUGGACCUGCACUCAGGGCGAGGAGAGGACAGGAGAAGAAAGGAAAAGAAGGGAGUGGACCUGAGAAGAGGUGGAGGAUGAAAAGAAGGGAGGAAGGGAGAAUAGAGCAGAAAAGAGAAGAAGAACAGAAAGGAGUGGAGAGGAGAAAAGAAGAGAGGAGAGGAAGGGAGAGGCGUGGACAUGGGAGGAGGUGAAGGUAGAAAUGAAGAAAGGAAGGGACAGGAGAUCUUAGAAGACAAGAGGAGAGGAAAGGAGUGGAGAAACGAGAAGGAGAGAGGAGAGAAGGGGUGCUCGAACUCAAGAACCUCAGUGACCCGGGCCCCUUUCCAGCCCACUCUCUCAAUUUUCAUGUCUGGACCCGAACCGAGACCUCACAGCACAUCUAUCUUCUGACGGAAUGACCCCACCUCUCCCACCUCUCUCCCUCUCCCUCUCUCUUUCUCUCUCCGGCCCGGUUUACUACAGGACCUUUAUCACUGGCUGGGCAGGCAGGCAGCUGGUGGUUGCCAGAGGCUACCCAACGAGGGAGAUUUAGCCCGGGGUUUUAGCCCUUUUUUUUGUUUCCUUGUAAGGAGAUACCUUCUCAUUUCAGCUGUACUCUUGUUUUUGGAGACCUGUAAGUAUGUAUGUGUGCUCCCUCUCUCUCUCUCCCUCUCCACACAAACCCCCCUCCCCACCCUUCCUGGCAUUUUAAUUUCAAUUAUGAGUAGCGACAGAUAAUAAAGGCUUUUUAAUAUA
Molecule: long non-coding RNA, 938 nt
Organism: Engraulis encrasicolus (European anchovy)
Lineage: Eukaryota; Metazoa; Chordata; Actinopteri; Clupeiformes; Engraulidae
Exons: 3
Source: RefSeq, a predicted model, not a curated record